CCUACGGGAGGCAGCAGUGGGGAAUAUUGGACAAUGGGGGCAACCCUGAUCCAGCCAUGCCGCGUGUGUGAAGAAGGCCCUCGGGUUGUAAAGCACUUUCAGUGAGGAAGAACGCUUGGUGGUUAAUACCCAUCAGGAAAGACAUCACUCACAGAAGAAGCACCGGCUAACUCCGUGCCAGCAGCCGCGGUAAUACGGAGGGUGCGAGCGUUAAUCGGAAUUACUGGGCGUAAAGCGCGCGUAGGUGGCUUGAUAAGCCGGUUGUGAAAGCCCCGGGCUCAACCUGGGAACGGCAUCCGGAACUGUCAAGCUAGAGUGCAGGAGAGGAAGGUAGAAUUCCCGGUGUAGCGGUGAAAUGCGUAGAGAUCGGGAGGAAUACCAGUGGCGAAGGCGGCCUUCUGGACUGACACUGACACUGAGGUGCGAAAGCGUGGGUAGCAAACAGGAUUAGAUACCCGAGUAGUC
Molecule: ribosomal RNA, 465 nt
Filed under: Vreelandella stevensii
Lineage: Bacteria; Pseudomonadati; Pseudomonadota; Gammaproteobacteria; Oceanospirillales; Halomonadaceae
Description: partial 16S ribosomal RNA
Rfam family: Bacterial small subunit ribosomal RNA
Source: RNAcentral